AGUGAACGCUGGCGGCGUGCUUAACACAUGCAAGUCGAGCGAAUUUCAGCAGCGUAUCGCUGAAGUUAGCGGCAGACGGGUGAGUAAUACUUGGGCAAUCUGCCCUCGAAAGGGAAACAACCUGCCGAAAGGCGGGCUAAUAUCCCAUAAGACCACAGAGUGACAUCAUUCAGGGGUCAAAGCUCCGCAAGGGGCGUUUGAGGAGGAGCCCGAGUCCUAUCAUGGUAGUUGGUGAGGUAACGGCUCACCAAGCCUUUGACGGGUAGCCGGCCUGAAA
Molecule: ribosomal RNA, 277 nt
Filed under: uncultured bacterium
Lineage: Bacteria
Description: partial 16S ribosomal RNA
Rfam family: Bacterial small subunit ribosomal RNA
Source: RNAcentral